Long non-coding RNA from Thamnophis sirtalis, 1337 nucleotides. RefSeq lists it as uncharacterized. The record is from RefSeq and is a predicted model, not a curated record. Lineage: Eukaryota; Metazoa; Chordata; Lepidosauria; Squamata; Natricidae.
AACCUCUGUUCGAGAAAGUGUUUUGAAGGCCAGCCUAGUUUUGUGGCUUUCGAUUGCAAAGGAACCAGGUUGGCCGAAGACCAAACGUCCUGUCUGCUUCCUUUCCUGUUUCAGUAGCUGCCUGCCGCUCGGAUCUGAGCGGCCCGGGUGGGGGGGUUUUAUUUAUUUUUUUUUGCAAUGAGAUAUUGUCAACAUCCUGGUUUGUUUCGCUUCUAGUGUUUCUUCCUGCUGCGUAGAAUGUGGCGUAACUUUGGGGCUGUCAUAGAUGCUAUACGGAGAGAGAAUUCCCUGGAAUGCGUCACUGGGACAAACAAAUGCCCCAGACCUGAGCCGAGAGCUGUCAUUUCCCUUUUCUACUUCAGCAAAUGCAAAACAAUCAAUCUUAGUGGAUAUGGAUCCCUACGGUUAUGAUCUAAGCUCCUGCCAGCGUAAGGAUACAUUGACCUGACUUCCCGUCACAUCAGUGGAGUUUGAGAACGUCAUCGAUCCAGAGUGAAGGGCAGGCAUUGUCCCCUCUUUCUCCUGAGAUCCAAGGCGUUUUCCUCUUCUCAACAUCACCUGAUUAUAGGCAUCGGGCAAAGACAAUCCAGCGUGGUCUAAAGAUCUGUCUAAAUGAGGAAGAGGAAAAAGCACUAUCAAGAUUUAAAUCGGGCUGAAGGGUCCUCUGGAGUUGAAGCCCAACCAACCUUGCCAACACCUUCCACAGAAAGGGAAGAUUGGAGACCGGAAUGAAAUUGCCCAGGGUGGGGUGAGGAGGCAGACCACAGUCUCCUUCAAGGCUGAGGAGACUACUCCUGCAGAGAAGCAUAUAUGUACGCCUGGCUCCAGCAGUAGGUCACCUCUAGGCACCCUUAACCAUCCAGGAAAGGCCUAGAUCAAAACAGAGAAUGAAGCUCCCAGAUGAGAGCAUCCUGUUCGUAGUCUGAGGACUCGCAAGCCAGCUCACUUCAGUUGACUAUACAAGACCAUGCCUUGGGCACUUCAUCUGGACAUGUUCACUCAAAAUCCGGCUCUCGAUGAUUCCAAAUGUCUUUAUCUGCCAAAUUGCAAAAUAUUUCUCACAGCAGUUAGUCCUGGAUUUAUCUCUCCCCAGCAGAGAUUGAGUCACCUUGAACAGGGCUGCCAGGGAGAUGCACUAAGGGCAGAGGAUUAUGUGAUUUUGCUGCCUUUAUCACUAUGAUGUAAGUCCAAAUAUAGAUUCUUACCUAUGCUAUGAUUCAUUCUCAUCCUCCUCCAAUGGUGCUCUAGGUGGCUCUUCAUGCACUUUAUCUUGCAGAGCUACUCAGUAGACCAAAGGAAUCUUGGGACCAGGACCAUCGGACCUAACAAGCUCUCUC